GAGGGUAUAGCUCAAAUGGUAGAGUGUUUGCUUAGCAUGCAUGAGGUCCUGGGUUCAAACCCCAGUACCUCCU
RNAcentral lists this transfer RNA (73 nucleotides) under Camelus bactrianus (Bactrian camel). It matches the Rfam family "tRNA". From Rfam's summary of the family: Transfer RNA (tRNA) molecules are approximately 80 nucleotides in length. Their secondary structure includes four short double-helical elements and three loops (D, anti-codon, and T loops). The record is from Rfam by way of RNAcentral. RNAcentral also lists the same sequence under 2 other names. Lineage: Eukaryota; Metazoa; Chordata; Mammalia; Artiodactyla; Camelidae.